AUACGGAGGGUGCAAGCGUUAAUCGGAAUUACUGGGCGUAAUGCGUACGUAGGCGGUUAUUUAAGUCAGAUGUGAAAGCCCCGGGCUUAACUUGGGAACUGCAUUUGAAACUGGGUAACUAGAGUUUAGUAGAGGGGAGUGGAAUUUCAGGUGUAGCGGUGAAAUGCGUAGAGAUCUGAAGGAACACCAGUGGCGAAGGCGACUCCCUGGACUAAAACUGACGCUGAGGUACGAAAGCGUGGGUAGCAAACAGGAUUAGAAACCCCGGUAGUCC
RNAcentral lists this ribosomal RNA (274 nucleotides) under uncultured bacterium. Its description in RNAcentral is "partial 16S ribosomal RNA". It matches the Rfam family "Bacterial small subunit ribosomal RNA", at positions 523 to 796 of the family's 1533-position model. The record is from RNAcentral.